AAUUUGAAGAGUGAAACUAUAUUGGGAAAUUUGUGACAGAACAUAGUUAGAUUAACCUAAGGGCCCGUUUGGUUCGAGUUAUAUAAUAUUACAAAGUAUCUUGACAUAUCCAGGUAUUUUGGAUUUCGGCGUGAGAUUACUACUGAUGCUGCAUUAGCGCGUUUGGUUUAAUUCAGUAAUGUAAUACUAGAUUACAGUGUUUAUAGCAUUAAUACGUUUGGUUCAGUUUAUAAAAUUUAGUAAUCCUAACAUAAAAGUAUAGUUUUUUUUCAAAUUACCCUUGAUGUGGUCAUUUGAAUAUUAUGUUUUACGGAAAUGACGAAUGGAGGGAAGGAGAUUAUGAUGAUUACCUGGGAGGACGACACAAUAGAAGAUGAUAGGUGUUCAUGCGCGCAAGAGAGAGAGAGAGAGAGAGGCGUGCGAGAGAGAGGAGAGAAGGCGAGAGAGAGAUGAAAAUAAAGCUGUUAAUUAGAUUUGGGGUUGUUGGAGUGUCACGCCCCGGAUUACACUUUCCCCGGGCACGCCGACAAAUCCGCCGUAUACAAAGGAAUUUCCCCUGUAUACGAAGCGAUAGCUGUACCUGUAAAUCAAACACUACUACAAACAGUAGUAGAGAGCUGCUAGAGAAAACUGAAGCUAAAUAAAACAGAGUUUCAUAUACAUAGAUCAGAUCC
This 674-nucleotide long non-coding RNA is filed under the name Ananas comosus (pineapple). RNAcentral's name for it is "long non-coding RNA (ACOM_LNC009719)". The record is from RNAcentral. Lineage: Eukaryota; Viridiplantae; Streptophyta; Magnoliopsida; Poales; Bromeliaceae.